UACGUAGGGGGCAAGCGUUGUCCGGAAUUACUGGGCGUAAAGGGCUCGUAGGCGGCCAACUAAGUCGGACGUGAAAUCCCUCAGCUUAACUGGGGAACUGCGUCCGAUACUGGAUGGCUUGGAUUUGGGAGAGGGAUGCGGAAUUCCAGGUGUAGCGGUGAAAUGCGUAGAUAUCUGGAGGAACACCGGUGGCGAAGGCGGCAUCCUGGACCAAUAUUGACGCUGAGGAGCGAAAGCCAGGGGAGCAAACGGG
RNAcentral lists this ribosomal RNA (253 nucleotides) under uncultured bacterium. Its description in RNAcentral is "partial 16S ribosomal RNA". It matches the Rfam family "Bacterial small subunit ribosomal RNA", at positions 524 to 776 of the family's 1533-position model. The record is from RNAcentral.